AGGAUUAUAGUUUAAUUUGAAAACAAUUAAUUUGCAAUUAAUAAAUAUUAAAUUUUAAUUAAUCUUA
This 67-nucleotide transfer RNA is filed under the name Cheumatopsyche sp. XG-2022. RNAcentral's name for it is "tRNA-Ala". It matches the Rfam family "tRNA". Rfam says of the family: Transfer RNA (tRNA) molecules are approximately 80 nucleotides in length. Their secondary structure includes four short double-helical elements and three loops (D, anti-codon, and T loops). Further hydrogen bonds mediate the characteristic L-shaped molecular structure. tRNAs have two regions of fundamental functional importance: the anti-codon, which is responsible for specific mRNA codon recognition, and the 3' end, to which the tRNAs corresponding amino acid is attached (by aminoacyl-tRNA synthetases). tRNAs cope with the degeneracy of the genetic code in two manners: having more than one tRNA (with a specific anti-codon) for a particular amino acid; and 'wobble' base-pairing, i.e. permitting non-standard base-pairing at the 3rd anti-codon position. Lineage: Eukaryota; Metazoa; Arthropoda; Insecta; Trichoptera; Hydropsychidae. The record is from RNAcentral.